Schizosaccharomyces pombe (fission yeast) is the source of this 289-nucleotide non-coding RNA. The record is from the annotation of a GenBank genome assembly. Lineage: Eukaryota; Fungi; Ascomycota; Schizosaccharomycetes; Schizosaccharomycetales; Schizosaccharomycetaceae.
AAACUUGAGACGCUUUCAAUUUUUAAUUUGUUCAAUUUGGUUUUACUACCGUGCUAUUUAAUUUUUAACUCUUGAAUAAAGUAUAAAAAACACCUUUUGGGUGUUGGAAAACGCUUUCCGGUUCUUAUUUAUAUAGUAUGCAGUAUUGCUAGCACAACUUCACCGUUCAACGUUGCAGAAAAAUUUACUAAACGAUGAGAAAAAUAUUUUUUAACAAAUCUUGGUUAAUUGGAUUUCUUGAAAGAAAAAGAAGAUUUUAUCUUGAACCCGAAUAAUUCAUAAAUUUGAG